This 305-nucleotide ribosomal RNA is filed under the name uncultured bacterium. Its description in RNAcentral is "bacterial SSU rRNA". It matches the Rfam family "Bacterial small subunit ribosomal RNA", at positions 335 to 639 of the family's 1533-position model. The record is from RNAcentral.
UACCUACGGGGCGCAGCAGUGAGGAAUAUUGGUCAAUGGGCGAGAGCCUGAACCAGCCAAGUCGCGUGAGGGAAGACGGUCCUAUGGAUUGUAAACCUCUUUUGUCAGGGAACAAAGGCGGGGACUAGUCCCCGGAUGAGGGUACCUGAAGAAAAAGCAUCGGCUAACUCCGUGCCAGCAGCCGCGGUAAUACGGAGGAUGCGAGCGUUAUCCGGAUUUAUUGGGUUUAAAGGGUGCGCAGGCGGCCUGUUAAGUCAGCGGUAAAAGCCCGGGGCUCAACCCCGGCGAGCCGUUGAAACUGGCGG